GGUUUAUGUGGCCCAGCGGCCAUAUCAGGACCUAUGAUAAGAGUCACCAAAGCAACCAAGGACACAAGGAAACAAAGUGAUGGUUCAACAGUUGGAAACAAAAAGUGAUGGUUCAACAUUUAGAGAAGAAGCUGGCAACGGACUCGGGGAAAAGAGCAGCCAAUCCGCUAAGGUGCGUGAACAGCGAGUGAUCGGCCUGCAGCACCAAUCACAAACUAACAUACGUAAUUAGUAGCCUAUAAUUGUAAUGCAGUAUGCAUGCUCGGCGCGUGUACGGAACACAAAAUAAGAUAAAUAUGUAUCACUGAGGCUUAAUAAACGAGCGCUUUCUGCACACCAUAUUGGCGCCUGAGACUGGCUUCGUCACUGACAUGACACCAGGCUGCGCAUGGGCACAAGGAUUCACCACAUUUGGGGUCUUGUCCGGGAUCUCACUGAUCUCAAGCCACUGAACCAGUAUCCCACUGCAUCCAGACGAUUGGGAAAAAAUUGCAUUCUCUGUACCAUCGAUAAAUCGUGAACAACCUUACAAGAGGUACCACUGGACUGUCCUGCCACAAGGAAUGAAAAACUCUCCCACUAUUUGUCAAUGACCAUUACAAGCCCUCUCAGUUUUCACAGAUGCCAGCAGUCGUUCAGGUCAGGGAGGCAUCUGGUGGACGGAUCCAGCAACUCAACAGCAAAAGACGCAUCGUGUAUGUGGUCAAGGGGAAAGAACCACAGUGGAUACCCUCUAAAUGGAUGAAACCUGACAUUCAUACUUCAUGCAACGAUCCUAUUACCUGUUCCAGAGACUACCCAGAAGAGCCAAGAACCAGACGGCGAAGACUACGCCAGGAAUAAGACUGGGUAAAAGCAGACUUCGACCUCACCUGUCAAGUUGAAGCCACAGCAUUAGGCCUACCCUGUACUGAGUUAGAAAGGCUGGUAAUUGAGACAGAAAUUUCAUAAUUAAUAGGAGAUUUGACGCCAUGUGCCACAAUACAUUGUAAAUUCUUUGAAACAAAUCAGAUAAUUUUAAACCAAAUUCUUUUGCAACAGUAAGUAUUGGGAGUCUGGUGUGGGAAAACACCUAGGACUGCCACAUUUUCAGAAUAUCGAAGCCAAUAAUUGGGAGCAGGCUUUGCAACACUGGCAAUGGCAUCAAAAUCCUUGUUACUAAUACUCUUGUCUUGUGUAACAGUUGCUUUAGCAAUAAUCACGCGCAUAGAUCCUCGAAAAAAAUGUCUGGGUAACAUGGGCAAACCAAACAGGGAAUAUGGAUUUCUGCCUAAGCUUGCAAACUGUAGGUGAUCCUUUCAGGACCUGUUUGAUUGGCGUUCCGAUCGCUUGGGAAGGCAAUGACACUUUAACAAAGCGGCUCAUUGCUAAUUACACUGAUUUUGCAGGAUAUAUAGGCAACAUCUGUUUUAACUCUAGUCAUUGGCAAAAUCUUCUCAAUUGUUCAAACUAUUGGCCGGUCAUAUCAGGGUCCUCCAUUCAGGCUGCCCUAAUUCAAGCACUUAACAUAACAAGCCCAGUUGCUAUUCCUGCUUUGGAUGUCAUGAGUAGUUUCGCACCUGGUGCUCCUACUAAUGUGUCACACAUUGGGAAUCAGUCAUCCAAUCCCAAUGCCAUAUGCACUACCAUUAGCCCCAGUGCCCGAUGCUUUAACGGUUCUGGCUAUGUAAUGGUUGGAGAAUGGGGACGCAUCAACAAUGGUCUCAGGGAAAUACGUUACAUAGGUCCGAAUGGAACUUCUCAAAUUAAUGCUACACACACAGAUUGGCCAAAGUGCAAUAUUCACAGUCUGGUACCAUCCCCUCAUGAUGCAAAAGUACUACCCCCUGAUAUAUUUCUUAUAUGUGGCAGUCAUUCUUGGCAGGGUAUCCCAGCAGGCAUCAUUGGAGGACCAUGUUAUCUGGGACAAUUGACCGUGUUUGCUCCACAUUUUCGAGAAUUGCUUUCACUUUAACACGACUCAAGUCAAACGCUCUUUACACGCUUUUGCUUCCAACUGUGAUGAUGAUGUUAAACUAAAUUCAAAAGCUGUCGAUGCGGCCUUAGCUACACUUAUUCCAGGUGCUGCAGCGGACAUGCUUUAAAUCAGUUAAGACGCCUAGCCUGCUGGUCUGUAAAACAAAGCAACAUCACCUCAGCUGUGCUUGAACAGCUCUUAAACGAUGUCACCUCUAUUAACCAUGCAGUCUUGCAGAACAGAGCUGCUAUUGAUUCCCUCCUAUCAGCUCAGGGACAUGGAUGCCAGGAGUUCGAAGGCAUGUGCUGCAUGAACUUGUCGGACCAUCAUGUAAGUAUCCACAAGCAGCUAGCUCAGCUAAAGGAAAAUAUCAACCACAUUCAAGAAGGCGCCUUACCAUUUGACAGCUUCUUCACAGGCUGGGGUCUUGGACCCUGGCUUAGCCAGCUAAUCAAAGAAGGCCUCCGUUUGUUCCUUUUUCUCUUAUGUGCCCUUCUCAUGUUUAGUGGCCUCUUUUGUUGUAUAAAUCAUUGUAUCUUUUCAAUUAUAAGGAAAGGGGGAAGUGUGGAGGUUUAUGUGGCCCAGCGGCCAUAUCAGGACCUAUGAUAAGAGUCACCAAAGCAACCAAGGACACAAGGAAACAAAGUGAUGGUUCAACAGUUGGAAACAAAAAGUGAUGGUUCAACAUUUAGAGAAGAAGCUGGCAACGGACUCGGGGAAAAGAGCAGCCAAUCCGCUAAGGUGCGUGAACAGCGAGUGAUCGGCCUGCAGCACCAAUCACAAACUAACAUACGUAAUUAGUAGCCUAUAAUUGUAAUGCAGUAUGCAUGCUCGGCGCGUGUACGGAACACAAAAUAAGAUAAAUAUGUAUCACUGAGGCUUAAUAAACGAGCGCUUUCUGCACACCA
Tyto alba (common barn owl) is the source of this 2865-nucleotide long non-coding RNA. RefSeq lists it as uncharacterized. The record is from RefSeq and is a predicted model, not a curated record. NCBI's taxonomy places the organism in Eukaryota, Metazoa, Chordata, Aves, Strigiformes, Tytonidae. The transcript is spliced from 4 exons.